AUGAACGCUGGCGGCGUGCCUAAUACAUGCAAGUCGAGCGAACGGACGAGAAGCUUGCUUCUCUGAUGUUAGCGGCGGACGGGUGAGUAACACGUGGAUAACCUACCUAUAAGACUGGGAUAACUUCGGGAAACCGGAGCUAAUACCGGAUGAUAUUUUGAACCGCAUGGUUCAAAAGUGAAAGACGGUCUUGCUGUCACUUAUAGAUGGAUCCGCGCUGCAUUAGCUAGUUGGUAAGGUAACGGCUUACCAAGGCAACGAUGCAUAGCCGACCUGAGAGGGUGAUCGGCCACACUGGAACUGAGACACGGUCCAGACUCCUACGGGAGGCAGCAGUGGGGAAUCUUCCGCAAUGGGCGAAAGCCUGACGGAGCAACGCCGCGUGAGUGAUGAAGGUCUUCGGAUCGUAAAACUCUAUUAUUAGGGAAGAACAUAUGUGUAAGUAACUGUGCACAUCUUGACGGUACCUAAUCAGAAAGCCACGGCUAACUACGUG
Molecule: ribosomal RNA, 496 nt
Filed under: uncultured bacterium
Lineage: Bacteria
Description: partial 16S ribosomal RNA
Rfam family: Bacterial small subunit ribosomal RNA
Source: RNAcentral